GAUGAACGCUGGCGGCGUGCUUAACACAUGCAAGUCGAACGGAAAGGCCUCAGCUUGCUGGGGUACUCGAGUGGCGAACGGGUGAGUAACACGUGGGUGAUCUGCCCUGCACUUUGGGAUAAGCUUGGGAAACUGGGUCUAAUACCGAAUAUGACCACUUCUUGGAUGUUGUGGUGGAAAGCUUUUGCGGUGUGGGAUGAGCCUGCGGCCUAUCAGCUUGUUGGUGGGGUAAUGGCCUACCAAGGCGGCGACGGGUAUCCGGCCUGAGAGGGUGUGCGGAAACAUUGGGACUGAGAUACGGCCCAGACUCCUACGGGAGGCAGCAGUGGGGAAUAGUGCACAAUGGGCGCAAGCCUGAUGCAGCGACGCCGCGUGGGGGAUGAAGGCCUUCGGGUUGUAAACUCCUUUCGCUAUCGACGAAGCCACUUGUGGUGACGGUAGGUAGAUAAGAAGCACCGGCUAACUACGUGCCAGCAGCCGCAGUAA
RNAcentral lists this ribosomal RNA (486 nucleotides) under uncultured bacterium. RNAcentral's name for it is "partial 16S ribosomal RNA". It matches the Rfam family "Bacterial small subunit ribosomal RNA", at positions 28 to 523 of the family's 1533-position model. The record is from RNAcentral.